ACCUCCUUUUAAAGGAUUAGCAAAGCUAUAUGUUUUGCAAGGUCAGUAUUAAUUCAUUACUUAUUUCCUUCUCAUCAAUAUAUAUUUAUUUCGAAAGUUAUAGAUACUUAUUGAUCUUUUACAAUUACAUAACAGGAUCAGAUAGAAGACGAGAAUAGUACAAACGAAUAUUUUUUUAUUAAAAUGUUCGUCCAUAAAUCAAAUUAAAAAAUUAAAUAAAAGUUAUUAAGGGCAUCUGGUGGAUACCUUGGCAGUAAGAGGCAAUGAAAGACGUGGUUAAACUGCGAUAAGCUUCGGGGAGCAGUUAAGCUAGCUUUGAUCCGGAGAUUUCCGAAUGGA
This 339-nucleotide unclassified non-coding RNA is filed under the name uncultured Gammaproteobacteria bacterium. Its description in RNAcentral is "partial 16S-23S ribosomal RNA intergenic spacer". The stretch from base 216 to 339 matches the Rfam family "Bacterial large subunit ribosomal RNA", at positions 1 to 122 of the family's 2925-position model. Lineage: Bacteria; Pseudomonadati; Pseudomonadota; Gammaproteobacteria. The record is from RNAcentral.